AAUUCUAUAUAUAAGAUAUAAUAAAACUAAAAUUUGUAAUCCGGCAAUAGUAUUCUGGAUGGUGAUUAGAUCCAAGAGGUUAAGAGAAUUAAGCAUGUUAGGACUUAUAGUGGUUUUAGGAUGGGUGACUCUCUGGAAAGUAAGGCGUCACAGUUGGUAUCAGAAUCAAUUACCAGCCGAAAGUGUGAGAUAAGUCUCAACUGAGCUAGAUUAUACAGUGGGGAAAGCAAGACUCUCAUACUGAUGAUUAUUGUAGGUGGAGUGCGGCUCACCACAAGGUCAGUUAAGCCGGAAGUGUGAGAUGAGUCUCGGCUGAGCCAGAUUAUACAGCGGGGAGAGCGAGACUUUUAUUUAGAUGACUGUUGUGGGUGCAGUGCGGUUCACCACAAGGUCGGCUAAGAUUAGCAAGACGAGUCUCACAUGACCUAAUAUUUGUGAGUCUGAGCCUGACGAAAAUAUCAGGGCUUAAAGAGCAGGAGACUAUGAAACCCCAAAUAAUACUAUAUGUAAGAUAUAUAAAAUAGGAAAGAUAUAUAUAAUAUGACUAAAACUCUUAACCCAACUAUAGCAUUUUAGACGAUGGCUAAGUUCAAGAGAUAAAAAGAGUUAAGUGUAUUGGGAUUAGAGUAGUUUCAUAAUAGAUAACCUUCUGGGAAGUAGG
This 661-nucleotide long non-coding RNA is filed under the name Ananas comosus (pineapple). RNAcentral describes it as "long non-coding RNA (ACOM_LNC044892)". Lineage: Eukaryota; Viridiplantae; Streptophyta; Magnoliopsida; Poales; Bromeliaceae. The record is from RNAcentral.